CUCAGUAACACGUGGAUAACCUAACCUGAGAUGGGGGAUAAUCUCGGAAAACUGAGGAUAAUACCCCAUAGACCUUCGAUACUGGAAUGUUCAAAGGUUGAAAGUUACGGCGUCUCAGGAUGGGUCUGCGGCCUAUCAGGUUGUAGUGAGUGUAAAGGACUCACUAGCCGACGACGGGUACGGGCUGUGGGAGCAGUUGCCCGGAGAUGGACUCUGAGACACGAGUCCAGGCCCUACGGGGCGCAGCAGGCGCGAAAACUUCACAAUGCGCGCAAGCGCGAUGAGGGGAUUCCAAGUGCAUGCACUAUGUGUAUGCUGUUUACUAGUUUAAAGUGCUAGUAGAGUAAGGGCUGGGUAAGACUGGUGCCAGCCGCCGCGGUAAUACCAGCGGCCCUAGUGGUGAUCGUUAUUAUUGGGCCUAAAGCGUCCGUAGCCGGUCCGGUAAAUCUCUGGGUAAAUCGUUGGGCUUAACCCAGCGAAUUCUGGGGAGACUGCCGGACUUGGGACCGGGAGAGGUUGGAGGUACUCCAGGGGUAGGGGUGAAAUCCUGUAAUCCUUGGGGGACCACCGGUGGCGAAAGCGUCCAACCAGAACGGGUCCGACGGUAAGGGACGAAGCCCUGGGGCGCGAACCGGAUUAGAUACCCGGGUAGUCCAGGGUGUAAACGCUGUGCGCUUGGUGUUGGGGGUCCUACGAGGGCACUCAGUGCCGUAGAGAAGUUGUUAAGCGCACCGCCUGGGGAGUACGGUCGCAAGACUGAAACUAAAG
RNAcentral lists this ribosomal RNA (768 nucleotides) under uncultured archaeon. RNAcentral describes it as "bacterial SSU rRNA". It matches the Rfam family "Archaeal small subunit ribosomal RNA", at positions 89 to 861 of the family's 1478-position model. The record is from RNAcentral.